This 906-nucleotide ribosomal RNA is filed under the name uncultured archaeon. RNAcentral's name for it is "bacterial SSU rRNA". It matches the Rfam family "Archaeal small subunit ribosomal RNA", at positions 147 to 1058 of the family's 1478-position model. The record is from RNAcentral.
UAAUACCCCAUAGACUAUGGAAGCUGGAAUGCUCUGUAGCCGAAAGGUCCGCCGCCACAGGAUGAGUCUGCGGCCGAUUAGGUUGUUGUUGGGGUAACGGCCCAACAAGCCUGUAAUCGGUACGGGUUGUGGGAGCAAGAGCCCGGAGAUGGAUUCUGAGACACGAAUCCAGGCCCUACGGGGCGCAGCAGGCGCGAAAACUUUGCAAUGCGGGAAACCGUGACAAGGGAACUCCGAGUGCCCGUAAAUUCGGGCUGUCCGCCAGUGUAAAAAACUGGUGAAGAAAGGGCCGGGCAAGACCGGUGCCAGCCGCCGCGGUAAUACCGGCGGCUCGAGUGGUGGCCACUAUUACUGGGCUUAAAGCGUUCGUAGCUGGUCUGUUAAGUCUCUGGGGAAAUCUUCCGGCUCAACCGGAAGGCGUUUCAGGGAUACUGGCAGACUAGGGACCGGAAGAGGUGAGGGGUACUCCAGGGGUAGGAGUGAAAUCCUGUAAUCCUUGGGGGACCACCUGUGGCGAAGGCGCCUCACCAGAACGGCUCCGACAGUGAGGAACGAAAGCUGGGGGAGCAAACCGGAUUAGAUACCCGGGUAGUCCCAGCUGUAAACGAUGCGCGUUAGGUGUAUCGGUGACCACGAGUCACCGAGGUGCCGAAGGGAAACCGUGAAACGUGCCGCCUGGGAAGUACGGUCGCAAGGCUGAAACUUAAAGGAAUUGGCGGGGGAGCACCACAACGGGUGGAGCCUGCGGUUUAAUCGGACUCAACGCCGGGAAACUCACCGGACAAGACAGCUGAAUGAUUGCCGGGCUGAAGACUCUGCAUGACUAGCUGAGAGGAGGUGCAUGGCCGUCGUCAGUUCGUACUGUGAAGCAUCCUGUUAAGUCAGGCAACGAGCGAGACCCCUACC